Molecule: ribosomal RNA, 157 nt
Filed under: Saprolegnia bulbosa
Lineage: Eukaryota; Oomycota; Saprolegniomycetes; Saprolegniales; Saprolegniaceae
Description: 5.8S ribosomal RNA
Rfam family: 5.8S ribosomal RNA
About the family: 5.8S ribosomal RNA (5.8S rRNA) is a component of the large subunit of the eukaryotic ribosome. It is transcribed by RNA polymerase I as part of the 45S precursor that also contains 18S and 28S rRNA.
Source: RNAcentral
CAACUUUCAACAGUGGAUGUCUAGGCUCGCACACCGAUGAAGAACGCUGCGGAACUGCGAUACGUAAUGCGGAAUUGCAGAAUUCAGUGAGUCAUUCAAAAUUUUGAACGCAUAUUGGCACUUCCGGGUUAGUCCUGGGAGUAUGUUUGUAUCAGUG